UACGGAGGGUGCAAGCGUUGUCCGGAAUCACUGGGCGUAAAGGGUGCGCAGGCGGGGCAGCAAGUCGGAGGUGAAAGCCCAUGGCUCAACCAUGGAAGUGCCUUCGAAACUGUUGCUCUUGAGUCCCGGAGAGGCUGCCGGAAUUCGUGGUGUAGCGGUGAAAUGCGUAGAGAUCACGAGGAACACCAGAGGCGAAAGCGGGCAGCUGGACGGGUACUGACGCUCAGGCACGAAAGCGUGGGGAGCAAACAGG
RNAcentral lists this ribosomal RNA (253 nucleotides) under uncultured bacterium. RNAcentral's name for it is "partial 16S ribosomal RNA". It matches the Rfam family "Bacterial small subunit ribosomal RNA", at positions 524 to 776 of the family's 1533-position model. The record is from RNAcentral.